This 402-nucleotide unclassified non-coding RNA is filed under the name soil metagenome. Its description in RNAcentral is "partial contains 5.8S ribosomal RNA, internal transcribed spacer 2, and large subunit ribosomal RNA". The stretch from base 1 to 121 matches the Rfam family "5.8S ribosomal RNA", at positions 35 to 154 of the family's 154-position model. The record is from RNAcentral.
GAUGAAGAACGCAGCGAAAUGCGAUAAGUAAUGUGAAUUGCAGAAUUCAGUGAAUCAUCGAAUCUUUGAACGCACCUUGCGCCCUUUGGCUAUUCCGAAGGGCAUGCCUGUUUGAGUAUCAUGAACACCUCAACUCUCGUGGCUUGCCAUGAUGAGCUUGGACUUUGGGGGUCUUGCUGGCCUGUGGUCAGCUCCUCUCAAAUGAAUCAGCUUGCCAGUGUUUGGUGGCAUCACAGGUGUGAUAACUAUCUACGCUUGUGGUUCUCCACCAGGUAACCUUUGGUGACGAAGGUUCGCUGGGGCUUAUAAAUGUCUCUCCUCAGUGAGGACAGCUCUUUGAACGUUUGAUCUCAAAUCAGGUAGGACUACCCGCUGAACUUAAGCAUAUCAAUAAGCGGAGGA